RNAcentral lists this microRNA precursor (89 nucleotides) under Strigamia maritima. RNAcentral's name for it is "mir-277 microRNA precursor family". It matches the Rfam family "mir-277 microRNA precursor family". The record is from Rfam by way of RNAcentral. Lineage: Eukaryota; Metazoa; Arthropoda; Chilopoda; Geophilomorpha; Linotaeniidae.
GUCGCUGGCAGUGGCGUACCAGAAGUGCUUUUACACGAGUGGUAUACGAUAUCUGUAAAUGCAUUAUCUGGUAUGAAAACUGCGCGCGA